RNAcentral lists this ribosomal RNA (859 nucleotides) under uncultured bacterium. Its description in RNAcentral is "bacterial SSU rRNA". It matches the Rfam family "Bacterial small subunit ribosomal RNA", at positions 627 to 1497 of the family's 1533-position model. The record is from RNAcentral.
UCAAAACUUUUCAGCUAGAGUAUGAUAGAGGAAAGCAGAAUUUCUAGUGUAGAGGUGAAAUUCGUAGAUAUUAGAAAGAAUACCAAUUGCGAAGGCAGCUUUCUGGAUCAUUACUGACACUGAGGAACGAAAGCAUGGGUAGCGAAGAGGAUUAGAUACCCUCGUAGUCCAUGCCGUAAACGAUGUGUGUUAGACGUUGGAAAUUUAUUUUCAGUGUCGCAGCGAAAGCGAUAAACACACCGCCUGGGGAGUACGACCGCAAGGUUAAAACUCAAAUGAAUUGACGGGGACCCGCACAAGUAGUGGAGCAUGUGGUUUAAUUCGAAGAUACGCGCAGAACCUUACCAACACUUGACAUGUUCGUCGCGACUCUAAGAGAUUAGAGUUUUCGGUUCGGCCGGACGAAACACAGGUGCUGCAUGGCUGUCGUCAGCUCGUGUCGUGAGAUGUUGGGUUAAGUCCCGCAACGAGCGCAACCCUCACUUUUAGUUGCCAUCAUUAAGUUGGGCACUCUGAAAGAACUGCCAGUGAUAAGCUGGAGGAAGGUGGGGAUGACGUCAAGUCCUCAUGGCCCUUACGUGUUGGGCUACACACGUGCUACAAUGGUAUCUACAACAGGAAGCAAGACUGCGAAGUUAAGCAAAUCCCUAAAAGAUACCUCAGUUCGGAUUGCACUCUGCAACUCGAGUGCAUGAAGCUGGAAUUACUAGUAAUCGUGGAUCAGCGUGCCACGGUGAAUGCGUUCCCGGGUCUUGUACACACCGCCCGUCACACCAUGGGAGCUGGUUCUACCUUAAGGCAAGGUUUUAAACCCUUGACCACGGUAUAGUCAGCGACUGGGGUGAAGUCGUAACAAGGU